GUUGAGAGUUCUGCAGUCGGAAGGGGAUGACUUCUGGUCCGCAACCCAGUGACCACUUCCUGAAGGUCCUGAUUCAUGAGUCUGCUCCUUUGAUUUGAAGGAGUGUACAGUUGCCAUAGCCAAGGUAGCCUAGGGUGUCCAGUAUCAGCAUAAAAAGCAGCAGUAAAAAGGAACUAUUCAGAGAUGAAUUUUUGUGCUGUUCCGUGAAAAAGUAAAAGCUAUCUGUGCCAGCAAGUCUGUGAAGUAAUUUUUUUCUUGUAAUU
Chiroxiphia lanceolata (lance-tailed manakin) is the source of this 263-nucleotide long non-coding RNA. RefSeq lists it as uncharacterized. NCBI's taxonomy places the organism in Eukaryota, Metazoa, Chordata, Aves, Passeriformes, Pipridae. The record is from RefSeq and is a predicted model, not a curated record. The transcript has 3 exons.